Molecule: non-coding RNA, 560 nt
Organism: Neolamprologus brichardi
Lineage: Eukaryota; Metazoa; Chordata; Actinopteri; Cichliformes; Cichlidae
Source: RefSeq, a predicted model, not a curated record
CACCACUACAGCUGUGCUCUCAGGUUCACGUAAACACAGCACACAGGUGGGAUGUGCAGCACGAGUGCUCUCUGCUCCUCACAGAGAGGUGAUGGAGACGAUUCCUGAUGAUGAUGAUGAUGAUGAUGAUGGUUUGGAUAAGAAGUCAGGAUCUAAUCAGAGAAGUUUAGGAAUCAGGAUCUCAGUCAUUCUGUCAUCUGUGGUGUUGGUGCUCUGUGUUCCUGCACUCAUCUUUGUUAGGUAUAAAAAGUGAUCUCAAAGCAGAACUGGACCAUUUUCAGUCAGAUGAAGGGACACUCAGACACUCAGCGGCAGAAGGCAGACACCUCCUGAGGAGUGUCAGUUCAUUAUGCCAGAAUGUUACAUUUUUUUUUAUCUAAGUACUUUGUGCUGUUUAUUUAUUUUUUGUAUAUCUUUGAAAUGGUGCUGUUUAUAAAAAGUCAUGUUUUGGUGUUUUGUCAGAUAUUUAAACAUUAAGUUACUUGAAAUGCGAACUGUGAAAAUGAGCAUGAGUGGCUAACAUGAACCUUUCUCAUCAAUAACUUUGAUUAAAUUGAUUU